GAUGAACGCUGGCGGCGUGCCUAGUACAUGCAAGUCGAGCGAACGGACGAGAAGCUUGCUUCUCUGAUGUUAGCGGCGGACGGGUGAGUAACACGUGGAUAACCUACCUAUAAGACUGGGAUAACUUCGGGAAACCGGAGCUAAUACCGGAUAAUAUUUUGAACCGCAUGGUUCAAAAGUGAAAGACGGUCUUGCUGUCACUUAUAGAUGGAUCCGCGCUGCAUUAGCUAGUUGGUAAGGUAACGGCUUACCAAGGCAACGAUGCAUAGCCGACCUGAGAGGGUGAUCGGCCACACUGGAACUGAGACACGGUCCAGACUCCUACGGGAGGCAGCAGUAGGGAAUCUUCCGCAAUGGGCGAAAGCCUGACGGAGCAACGCCGCGUGAGUGAUGAAGGUCUUCGGAUCGUAAAACUCUGUUAUUAGGGAAGAACAUAUGUGUAAGUAACUGUGCACAUCUUGACGGUACCUAAUCAGAAAGCCACGGCUAACUACGUGCCAGCAGCCGCGGUAAUACGUAGGUGGCAAGCGUUAUCCGGAAUUAUUGGGCGUAAAGCGCGCGUAGGCGGUUUUUUAAGUCUGAUGUGAAAGCCCACGGCUCAACCGUGGAGGGUCAUUGGAAACUGGAAAACUUGAGUGCAGAAGAGGAAAGUGGAAUUCCAUGUGUAGCGGUGAAAUGCGCAGAGAUAUGGAGGAACACCAGUGGCGAAGGCGACUUUCUGGUCUGUAACUGACGCUGAUGUGCGAAAGCGUGGGGAUCAAACAGGAUUAGAUACCCUGGUAGUCCACGCCGUAAACGAUGAGUGCUAAGUGUUAGGGGGUUUCCGCCCCUUAGUGCUGCAGCUAACGCAUUAAGCACUCCGCCUGGGGAGUACGACCGCAAGGUUGAAACUCAAAGGAAUUGACGGGGACCCGCACAAGCGGUGGAGCAUGUGGUUUAAUUCGAAGCAACGCGAAGAACCUUACCAAAUCUUGACAUCCUUUGACAACUCUAGAGAUAGAGCCUCCCCCUUCGGGGGACAAAGUGACAGGUGGUGCAUGGUUGUCGUCAGCUCGUGUCGUGAGAUGUUGGGUUAAGUCCCGCAACGAGCGCAACCCUUAAGCUUAGUUGCCAUCAUUAAGUUGGGCACUCUAAGUUGACUGCCGGUGACAAACCGGAGGAAGGUGGGGAUGACGUCAAAUCAUUAUGCCCCUUAUGAUUUGGGCUACACACGUGCUACAAUGGACAAUACAAAGGGCAGCGAAACCGCGAGGUCAAGCAAAUCCCAUAAAGUUGUUCUCAGUUCGGAUUGUAGUCUGCAACUCGACUACAUGAAGCUGGAAUCGCUAGUAAUCGUAGAUCAGCAUGCUACGGUGAAUACGUUCCCGGGUCU
This 1372-nucleotide ribosomal RNA is filed under the name uncultured bacterium. RNAcentral's name for it is "bacterial SSU rRNA". It matches the Rfam family "Bacterial small subunit ribosomal RNA", at positions 28 to 1381 of the family's 1533-position model. The record is from RNAcentral.